GCUUAACGUAAAUGGUACUCACCUAAAAAGUGAACCUUUUCAAUGUUAUGCAUAGUCUUCAAAAUCCCCCGCCUUAACGGGCGUGCCGGUUCGAGUCCGGCCUUGGGUGCCA
RNAcentral lists this transfer RNA (112 nucleotides) under Paracoccaceae bacterium. RNAcentral describes it as "tRNA-OTHER". The record is from RNAcentral. Lineage: Bacteria; Pseudomonadati; Pseudomonadota; Alphaproteobacteria; Rhodobacterales; Paracoccaceae.